RNAcentral lists this transfer RNA (72 nucleotides) under Scedosporium boydii. RNAcentral's name for it is "tRNA-Lys". It matches the Rfam family "tRNA". From Rfam's summary of the family: Transfer RNA (tRNA) molecules are approximately 80 nucleotides in length. RNAcentral also lists the same sequence under 2 other names. Lineage: Eukaryota; Fungi; Ascomycota; Sordariomycetes; Microascales; Microascaceae. The record is from RNAcentral.
GGGAUUUUAGUAUAAUGGUAAUGCAAAUGACUUUUAAUCAUUAAGAUGUAGGUUCGAAUCCUGCAAAUCCUA